Molecule: ribosomal RNA, 203 nt
Filed under: uncultured soil bacterium
Lineage: Bacteria
Description: partial 16S ribosomal RNA
Rfam family: Bacterial small subunit ribosomal RNA
Source: RNAcentral
AGGACGAACGCUGGCGGCGUGCUUAACACAUGCAAGUCGAGCGGUAAGGCCCUUUCGGGGGUACACGAGCGGCGAACGGGUGAGUAACACGUGAGUAAUCUGCCCUCCACUUGGGGAUAAGCUUCGGAAACGGGUCUAAUACCUGAUACGACAACUACCUGCAGUGGGUUGGUUGUGGUAAAGUUCUUUCGGUGGGGGAUGUG